RNAcentral lists this long non-coding RNA (1195 nucleotides) under Limulus polyphemus (Atlantic horseshoe crab). RNAcentral's name for it is "uncharacterized LOC111089132, transcript variant X2". Lineage: Eukaryota; Metazoa; Arthropoda; Merostomata; Xiphosura; Limulidae. The record is from RNAcentral.
GUUAUAGCUGUAAAACUGAAAUAAGGUUAAGUAUGCUGACUGGAAUCAAGUUGUGUUAUAGCUGUAAAACUGAAAUAAAGUAAAGUAUGCUGACUGGAACUAAGUUGUGUUAUAACUGGAAAACUGAAAUAAGGUUAAGUAUGCUGACUGGAACUAAGUUGUGUUAUAGCUGUAAAACUGAAAUAAAGUAAAGUAUACAGACUGGAACUAAGUUGUGUUAUAGCUGUAAAACUGAAAUAAAGUUAAGUAUGCUAACUGGAACUAAGUUGUGUUAUAGCUGUAAAACUGAAAUAAGGAUAAGUAUGCAGACUGGAACUAAGUUGUGUUAUAGCCGUAAAACUGAAAUAAAGUAAAGUAUGCAGACUGGAAUCAAGUUGUGUUAUAGCUGGAAAACUGAAAUAAGGUUAAAUAUGCAGACUGGAAUCAAGUUGUGUUAUAGCUGUAAAACUGAAAUAAGGAUAAGUGUGCAGACUGGAACUAAGUUGUGUUAUAGCUGGAAAACUGAAAUAAGGUUAAGUAUGCAGACUGGAAUCAAGUUGUGUUAUAGCUGGAAAACUGAAAUAAGGUUAAGUAUGCAGACUGGAAUCAAGUUGUGUUAUAUAACUGGAAAACUGAAAUAAGGUUAAGUAUGCUGACUGGAACUAAGUUGUGUUAUAGCUGUAAAACUGAAAUAAAGUAAAGUAUACAGACUGGAACUAGAUUGUGUUAUAGCUGUAAAACUGAAAUAAGGUUAAGUAUGCUGACUGGAACUAAGUUGUGUUAUAGCUGUAAAACUGAAAUAAAGUAAAGUAUGCAGACUGGAAUCAAAUUGUGUUAUAACUGGAAAACUGAAACAAGGUUAAGUAUGCUGACUGGAAUCAAGCUGUGUUAUAUAACUGGAAAACUGAAAUAAGGUUAAGUAUGCUGACUGGAACUAAGUUGUGUUAUAGCUGGAAAACUGAAAUAAGGAUAAGUAUGCAGACUGGAACUAAGUUGUGUUAUAGCUGUAAAACUGAAAUAAGGUUAAGUAUGCUGACUGGAACUAAGUUGUGUUAUAGCUGUAAAACUGAAAUAAGGUUAAGUAUGCUGACUGGAAUCAAGUUGUGUUAUAUAACUGGAAAACUGAAAUAAGGUUAAGUAUGCUGACUGGAACUAAGUUGUGUUAUAGCUGUAAAACUGAAAUAAGGUUAAGUAUGCAGACUGGAACUAAGUUGUG